GAUGAAGAACGUAGCGAAAUGCGAUACGUAAUGUGAAUUGCAAAUUCAGUGAAUCAUCGAGUCUUUGAACGCACAUUGCGCCCGCCAGUAUUCUGGCGGGCAUGCCUGUCUGAGCGUCAUUUCAACCCUCAGCCCCCGCUCGCGGGGCGCUGGCGUUGGGGAUCGGCCGUCCUCGCGGCGGCCGGCCCCGAAACACAGUGGCGGUCUCUCGCGGACUCCCCUGCGUAGUAGCACUACCUCGCAGAAGGGACGAGCGGGCUGACCACGCCGUAAAACCCCCCACUUCUCCAGGUUGACCUCAGAUCAGGUAGGAAUACCCGCUGAACUUAAGCAUAUCAAUAAGCGGAGGA
This 350-nucleotide unclassified non-coding RNA is filed under the name soil metagenome. RNAcentral describes it as "partial contains 5.8S ribosomal RNA, internal transcribed spacer 2, and large subunit ribosomal RNA". The stretch from base 1 to 119 matches the Rfam family "5.8S ribosomal RNA", at positions 35 to 154 of the family's 154-position model. The record is from RNAcentral.